Molecule: ribosomal RNA, 459 nt
Filed under: uncultured bacterium
Lineage: Bacteria
Description: partial 16S ribosomal RNA
Rfam family: Bacterial small subunit ribosomal RNA
Source: RNAcentral
CCUACGGGUGGCAGCAGUGAGGAAUAUUGGUCAAUGGGCGCGAGCCUGAACCAGCCAAGUCGCGUGAAGGAUGAAGGCCCUUUGGAUUGUAAACUUCUUUUAUCGGGGAACAAAAUGCGACACGCGUGUCCGUUUGUGUGUACCCUAUGAAUAAGCACCGGCUAACUCCGUGCCAGCAGCCGCGGUAAUACGGAGGAUGCGAGCGUUAUCCGGAUUUAUUGGGUUUAAAGGGAGCGAGGGGGGGGGAUUAAGUCAGCGGGAAAAUCUCGGGGCUCAACCCCGGCCGGCCGUUGAAACUGGGUGGCUUGAGUGCGCGAGAGGUAUGCGGAAUUCGUGGUGUAGCGGUGAAAUGCUUAGAUAUCACGAAGAACUCCGAUUGCGAAGGCAGCAUACGGGAGCGAUACUGACGCUGAGGCUCGAAAGCGUGGGUAUCGAACAGGAUUAGAUACCCCAGUAGUC